This 842-nucleotide long non-coding RNA is filed under the name Linum usitatissimum (flax). Its description in RNAcentral is "long non-coding RNA (LUSI_LNC004353)". Lineage: Eukaryota; Viridiplantae; Streptophyta; Magnoliopsida; Malpighiales; Linaceae. The record is from RNAcentral.
CCUCGCAAUUAAACUCUCAACUCCUUUCUUCUGUUGCCUUCUUGCGUUCACAGCUAAUAUCGGUUGAUUUCUUCAAAUAAUGGGCUGGCUAAUUCAAGGUAAACGCACCAUCUACCUCAUUGUAUCUCCUAGAUUUCAAUUUCAUAGCUCUUUCUUUGAUCUGUGGCGGCUGGAUUUGAGCGAUAAGGUUUGAUUGUGGCCGAAUUACAGAUUUGUGUUGCCAUAUAGUCAGUGAGCUCGAUGAGCUCAUUGUCCUCACUCACUUACCAAAAUUCGUUACUACAGAAGGACAAUUUUAUACGGAGGCGCCAUGUACAGACCAACUAGGCAACUGGUUGUUCAUGCCAGCAUUAUUACAGAGUUCAGGUUAUAUGCAAUGAACUGCUUUCAGACUUUGUAAAAGGGUUUGAGCUGAUUAUUCUGUUGAUUGUUUAUGAUUUGUUCACAAGAUUUUUUACCAAAGCAACUUGACAUAUGUGAUGAUCAUUUGGUUGUUUGUACCGCUUCCGAAGACUGGAAAGACCAGAACGAAUGGAUAAGAGCUGCAAGUCGUCAUGGUUUAUCACCUUCACAUCGGUUCUUUAUGUACCAACCAAUAGAGUUUGGUUUGGAUAGGCUGUGGACAUGGGAAGGAACUGUUCAGUGCUAAUACCACUUAGGCUUUUCAAGAAAUUCCUCUUCAUUGCUGUUGUGACCAUCAAACUAUUUGGAAGGGCACAUUUGUAAAAUGACCACCAACCCAUUAGUUUAUUAAAAUGAGAAAGAACGAAGUUUUACAAAAUUUCAUUCAACCAAACAAUGUAUUUGUAUUUCCUCAAUUAGAAUAUAAUUCAUAAUUCCUC